Molecule: unclassified non-coding RNA, 329 nt
Filed under: soil metagenome
Description: partial contains 5.8S ribosomal RNA, internal transcribed spacer 2, and large subunit ribosomal RNA
Rfam family: 5.8S ribosomal RNA (bases 1-120)
Source: RNAcentral
GAUGAAGAACGUAGCGAAAUGCGAUAAGUAGUGUGAAUUGCAGACUUUAGUGAAUCAUCGAAUCUUUGAACGCACAUUGCGCCCCUUGGUAUUCCGAGGGGCAUGCCUGUUCGAGCGUCAUUAUAACCCCUCAAGCUCAGCUUGGUGUUGGGGCCUGCUGCACUGGCAGCCCUUAAAAUCAGUGGCGGCGCCAUCUGGCUCUAAGCGUAGUAAUUCUUCUCGCUAUGGAGUCCUGGUGGAUGCUUGCCAUCAACCCCCAAUUUUUCUAUGGUUGACCUCGGAUCAGGUAGGGAUACCCGCUGAACUUAAGCAUAUCAAUAAGCGGAGGA